This 253-nucleotide ribosomal RNA is filed under the name uncultured bacterium. RNAcentral's name for it is "partial 16S ribosomal RNA". It matches the Rfam family "Bacterial small subunit ribosomal RNA", at positions 524 to 776 of the family's 1533-position model. The record is from RNAcentral.
UACAGAGGUCUCAAGCGUUGUCCGGAAUUAUUGGGCGUAAAGAGCUCGUAGGCGGCCUGUCGCGUCGGAUGUGAAAGCCCGGGGCUUAACCCCGGGUCUGCAUUCGAUACGGGCAGGCUAGAGUGUGGUAGGGGAGAUCGGAAUUCCUGGUGUAGCGGUGAAAUGCGCAGAUAUCAGGAAGAACACCCGUGGCGAAGGCGGCUUUCUGGGACGGCACUGACGCUGAGACGCGAAAGCGUGGGGAGCGAACAGG